GACGAACGCUGGCGGCGUGCUUAACACAUGCAAGUCGAACGGAAAGGCCCUGCUUUUGUGGGGUGCUCGAGUGGCGAACGGGUGAGUAACACGUGAGUAACCUGCGCUUGACUUUGGGAUAACUUCAGGAAACUGGGGCUAAUACCGGAUAGGAGCUCCUGCUGCAUGGUGGGGGUUGGAAAGUUUCGGCGGUUGGGGAUGGACUCGCGGCUUAGCAGCUUGUUGGUGGGGUAGUGGCUUACCAAGGCUUUGACGGGUAGCCGGCCUGAGAGGGUGACCGGCCACAUUGGGACUGAGAUACGGCCCAGACUCCUACGGGAGGCAGCAGUGGGGAAUAUUGCACAAUGGGCGGAAGCCUGAUGCAGCAACGCCGCGUGCGGGAUGACGGCCUUCGGGUUGUAAACCGCUUUCGCCUGUGACGAAGCGUGAGUGACGGUAAUGGGUAAAGAAGCACCGGCUAACUACGUG
This 468-nucleotide ribosomal RNA is filed under the name uncultured bacterium. RNAcentral's name for it is "partial 16S ribosomal RNA". It matches the Rfam family "Bacterial small subunit ribosomal RNA", at positions 28 to 507 of the family's 1533-position model. The record is from RNAcentral.